RNAcentral lists this ribosomal RNA (1449 nucleotides) under bacterium ST4. RNAcentral's name for it is "bacterial SSU rRNA". It matches the Rfam family "Bacterial small subunit ribosomal RNA". The record is from RNAcentral.
CGGCAGGCCUAACACAUGCAAGUCGAGCGGAAACGAGUUAUCUGAACCUUCGGGGGACGAUAACGGCGUCGAGCGGCGGACGGGUGAGUAAUGCCUAGGAAAUUGCCCUGAUGUGGGGGAUAACCAUUGGAAACGAUGGCUAAUACCGCAUGAUGCCUACGGGCCAAAGAGGGGGACCUUCGGGCCUCUCGCGUCAGGAUAUGCCUAGGUGGGAUUAGCUAGUUGGUGAGGUAAGGGCUCACCAAGGCGACGAUCCCUAGCUGGUCUGAGAGGAUGAUCAGCCACACUGGAACUGAGACACGGUCCAGACUCCUACGGGAGGCAGCAGUGGGGAAUAUUGCACAAUGGGCGCAAGCCUGAUGCAGCCAUGCCGCGUGUGUGAAGAAGGCCUUCGGGUUGUAAAGCACUUUCAGUCGUGAGGAAGGUAGUGUAGUUAAUAGCUGCAUUAUUUGACGUUAGCGACAGAAGAAGCACCGGCUAACUCCGUGCCAGCAGCCGCGGUAAUACGGAGGGUGCGAGCGUUAAUCGGAAUUACUGGGCGUAAAGCGCAUGCAGGUGGUUUGUUAAGUCAGAUGUGAAAGCCCGGGGCUCAACCUCGGAAUAGCAUUUGAAACUGGCAGACUAGAGUACUGUAGAGGGGGGUAGAAUUUCAGGUGUAGCGGUGAAAUGCGUAGAGAUCUGAAGGAAUACCGGUGGCGAAGGCGGCCCCCUGGACAGAUACUGACACUCAGAUGCGAAAGCGUGGGGAGCAAACAGGAUUAGAUACCCUGGUAGUCCACGCCGUAAACGAUGUCUACUUGGAGGUUGUGGCCUUGAGCCGUGGCUUUCGGAGCUAACGCGUUAAGUAGACCGCCUGGGGAGUACGGUCGCAAGAUUAAAACUCAAAUGAAUUGACGGGGGCCCGCACAAGCGGUGGAGCAUGUGGUUUAAUUCGAUGCAACGCGAAGAACCUUACCUACUCUUGACAUCCAGAGAACUUUCCAGAGAUGGAUUGGUGCCUUCGGGAACUCUGAGACAGGUGCUGCAUGGCUGUCGUCAGCUCGUGUUGUGAAAUGUUGGGUUAAGUCCCGCAACGAGCGCAACCCUUAUCCUUGUUUGCCAGCGAGUAAUGUCGGGAACUCCAGGGAGACUGCCGGUGAUAAACCGGAGGAAGGUGGGGACGACGUCAAGUCAUCAUGGCCCUUACGAGUAGGGCUACACACGUGCUACAAUGGCGCAUACAGAGGGCGGCCAACUUGCGAAAGUGAGCGAAUCCCAAAAAGUGCGUCGUAGUCCGGAUUGGAGUCUGCAACUCGACUCCAUGAAGUCGGAAUCGCUAGUAAUCGUGGAUCAGAAUGCCACGGUGAAUACGUUCCCGGGCCUUGUACACACCGCCCGUCACACCAUGGGAGUGGGCUGCAAAAGAAGUAGGUAGUUUAACCUUCGGGGGGACGCUUACCACUUUGUGGU